GCCGGUGACCCGCACGCCUCUGGGUUUUUUGGAUGCAACGAUUGGUCCCGAGUUGCCAUGCUCCGUCGUCUAUUGGUCAGAACAGCUAGCUGUCAUUUCUCCCCCCUCCCUCUAGACAUUUUAAAGGGCCAGUAACUAGAUUGCCCUUCCAAAGGGAAGGGGGUGAUCCUGAGCUGUUGGGGCAGGGUUGGGCGUGGAAAGAUGGUCCACCUUUGGGCUUCUGCCGGAAUUUCCCUAAGCUUAAGGGAUAGUGGGCUAGUAAAAGUGUAUACACAGACAAGAUUCUUUCAUGAAGUAGGUAGGGGUCAAGGCAAAUCCAGCUGCCUUGAACACUAACCAAUUGAUCAUGGGAGAGCACCCCACUCCCACCCCAUGAAUUAGAACUAUAUGCGAACAUCUUGGAUGUGUGCCUUCUCCCUUUCUCCGUUAUAAAAGUCACCCAAACCCAGCCACCCAGCUAAGACACACCUGAAUUACUCUUGUCAAUGGGAGCCACUUGGGCUUUGUCAUUCCUUGCCUGCUGGAAAGCUCUGGACUUUGGGCAGGCCUUACACUGAGCCCUGAGGCCACUGGCUGCCUGAGAUAAGGCAGAGCUGUGGGGCCUGCUUAUCUCUUGCCCAGCCUGGGAGCCACGGGGGAGUCUUUGUUAGUGUAGACGUUUCAGAGCUCAGGUUAGGAGGAGGAAGAUCUAGAUUCCAGCAUCCACUUUCUGCCUGUGCGUAGUGUGAGACUUUCAGCCAGUCAUUUGACCUCUCUUCAUCUUUGCUUCUGUGACUCUUGCUGGAAGUACCUGCCCUGUCUCACGCAGUAGGGUUGUUGUGAGGACAGUGUACGGAAAGGAUGGCUCAAGCCUUUAAAUGAUACUCCAGGCUGGUCUCAGAUUCCUGGGCUGGGCCGAUUCUCCCAGUUACCAACUUACUGAGUGUUGACACUACAGACGUGUGCCGCCGUGCCCUGUGUGUUUUAUUUUGCUUUUUAUUUGAUUACUGUUUCUUGUUACCGUGUCUGUGUUUGUGCCCAUGGACACAGGCCAUAAUGCAAGUGUACAGUGGAGAAUAACUUCUGGAUGUGUGUUCUCCUUCCACAAUAUCUGGGGGUAGAACUUAAUGUCAUCAGUGACCAAGAACCUGAGUGUCUGCUGCAGAAGAACCUGUAAGAUGAGGGACCCAGUGCAGGGAGGGUGGACGGUUUCUACAAUGGCUCCAGUCAGCAGAAAGAAAUAAGACCUUUGUGUCAGACUGCAGAACCCAGUUCUACCUGCUUGACACUAAACACCUUUAUCCAAGGCACCGUGACAGGAGGAAGAGGUGUGUCCCUUUGAGCUCUUGGCUCCAGCU
This is a non-coding RNA of Myodes glareolus (Bank vole), 1337 nucleotides long. NCBI's taxonomy places the organism in Eukaryota, Metazoa, Chordata, Mammalia, Rodentia, Cricetidae. The record is from RefSeq and is a predicted model, not a curated record.